RNAcentral lists this small nucleolar RNA (129 nucleotides) under Castor canadensis (American beaver). Its description in RNAcentral is "Small nucleolar RNA SNORA68 (ENSCCNG00000023332.1)". It matches the Rfam family "Small nucleolar RNA SNORA68". Rfam says of the family: U68 is a member of the H/ACA class of small nucleolar RNAs (snoRNAs) which act as guides in the the modification of uridines to pseudouridines. The record is from Rfam by way of RNAcentral. Lineage: Eukaryota; Metazoa; Chordata; Mammalia; Rodentia; Castoridae.
CUCACACUCCAACCCAAGAAUAACUACUUCUGGUAGCAGUGGUUUAAACAGAGGUGCACACAACAAGUGGACCUUAUUGUUGGGAGCUGUUGCUGUGUCCCUCAAAGUGAAUGUGGAGGUUCUAUACCC